RNAcentral lists this ribosomal RNA (424 nucleotides) under uncultured prokaryote. RNAcentral describes it as "bacterial SSU rRNA". It matches the Rfam family "Bacterial small subunit ribosomal RNA", at positions 355 to 796 of the family's 1533-position model. The record is from RNAcentral.
UGGGGAAUAUUGCACAAUGGGCGAAAGCCUGAUGCAGCCAUGCCGCGUGAGUGAAGAAGGCCCUAGGGUUGUAAAACUCUUUCACCAGGGAAGAUAAUGACGGUACCUGGAGAAGAAGCCCCGGCUAACUCCGUGCCAGCAGCCGCGGUAAUACGGAGGGGGCUAGCGUUGUUCGGAAUUACUGGGCGUAAAGCGCGCGUAGGCGGAUUGGUCAGUCAGAGGUGAAAUCCCGAAGCUCAACUUCGGAACUGCCUUUGAUACUGCCGAUCUAGAGUCCGGGAGAGGUGAGUGGAAUUCCUAGUGUAGAGGUGAAAUUCGUAGAUAUUAGGAAGAACACCAGUGGCGAAGGCGGCUCACUGGCCCGGUACUGACGCUGAGGUGCGAAAGCGUGGGGAGCAAACAGGAUUAGAUACCCCCGUAGUCC